RNAcentral lists this non-coding RNA (25 nucleotides) under Rattus norvegicus (Norway rat). The record is from RNAcentral. Lineage: Eukaryota; Metazoa; Chordata; Mammalia; Rodentia; Muridae.
UGUCACUCUUGAGGUGCCUGGCUCU